RNAcentral lists this ribosomal RNA (776 nucleotides) under uncultured Neocallimastigales. RNAcentral describes it as "partial large subunit ribosomal RNA". It matches the Rfam family "Eukaryotic large subunit ribosomal RNA", at positions 23 to 633 of the family's 3401-position model. The record is from RNAcentral. Lineage: Eukaryota; Fungi; Neocallimastigomycota; Neocallimastigomycetes; Neocallimastigales.
AGAGAUGUGUGAUGACGCAUAUCAAUAAGCGGAGGAAAAGAAACUAACAAGGAUUCCCUUAGUAACGGCGAGUGACGCGGGAAGAGCUCAAAUUUGAAAUCUUCAAGGGUUUACCUUGACGAAUUGUAGUUUAAAGAAGUGUUUUCUGUUAGAGAGGUUGGUAAAAGUUCUUUGGAAUAGGACAUCAUAGAGGGUGAGAAUCCCGUAUUUGAUCCAUUAUUUUCGGCUGUGUGAUACACUUUCAAAGAGUCGGAUUGUUUGGGAAUGCAGUCCAAAAUGGGUGGUAAAUUUCAUCUAAAGCUAAAUAUUGGCGAGAGACCGAUAGCGAACAAGUACCGUGAGGGAAAGAUGAAAAGAACUUUGAAAAGAGAGUUAAACAGUACGUGAAAUUGUCAAAAGGGAAGCGUUUGACACCAGUGUUGUUUUCUCGAAAAUCAAUUAAAAAGAGUUGGACUUUGUGUUGUAUUGACCUUAACAGCUUUCUUCACUCUUUUCCUGCUUUUUUUAAUGCACUUUUCGUUUAACAAGUCAACAUCAGUUUCUUUUGUUGUAAAAGGGUCAUUGGAAGGUGGCUUUCUUUUCGGAGAAAGUGUUUAUAGCCUCUGAUCUCUGCAAUCGGAGAGACUGAGGUCUGCAGCGUAGAUCCUUCGGGGUUAGAUACAUUUGUGCUAAGUUAUAACCUUUCAUAGACAACUUGUUGACUAUGUUUAGUCAUGUAGCUUACUCGCUUAUGCUAUUUUACCUACGCUUAGGAUGUUGACAGCAGUAUAGACUGU